Long non-coding RNA from Engraulis encrasicolus (European anchovy), 987 nucleotides. RefSeq lists it as uncharacterized. The transcript has 5 exons. NCBI's taxonomy places the organism in Eukaryota, Metazoa, Chordata, Actinopteri, Clupeiformes, Engraulidae. The record is from RefSeq and is a predicted model, not a curated record.
GGCAAAAUAGGCUUGAAUCCGGAGAUAUUUUGACUGGAUAUGUUUUAUGACACGCGGCAUAUUCGGACCAGAUUUCGACCAUUUCCCGACUUUUCAAGAAUCCGUGAAAAUCUUGGCAUAUUUUGACUCCGGAAUUGUGUUUGGUGAAUACGGAGAUAUUUUGACUGGAUACCGGUAUUUUGAAUGACGUGUGCUGCCAAUCGCAUUGAAUAGAAUGUUGGCCCUCCCUCUGCCGUUAUGAUUAUGAAGCUCUGCGCGGCAGCCCGCCGCUUCCUAUCUGGAUUUCUGUCGUACGUUAGUCGGCAGCAUCUUUAUCACAGACUUUCCAGAAAUCUGUCGCAGACUUGUUAAGCCAUCAAAAAACCGUAUUUAGUUCUAGCUCUAGGCUAUGGGACUAUGAGGACUCCGAGACGGUGUCCAAGUGAGAUGGCUGGCGAGGUUGAUGGACCAGACUUUAAGACAUUCUGAGCUCCAUGAAUGUCAUGAGACACUCCAGGAGACGGUGGUUGCAAUGCAUUAUCAACACCCCGCAACCCCAACCCUCCAAUGGAACCCAGAACCCUCCGGAGUUCCUCAGGACCUGUCGGCAUGAGUGAGGCGAACACAUCGUGCGUUGGAGGAAGAGUUGCAGUGACGACUUGGACCACAGGCCAGAAACCUGAAAUAGAUUCUUUGAGAAUCUUAAAAGUCAAACAACUGGGCCUUGCGGGGAAGACUGAUGACGUGAGAAAAAAAGGAAAAAUUUGAUGAGCGGUGGUGCUGGUGGCGCAGGAUGUCCUGGAGGAGGACGACCUCGACUACCUCAAAGGAGCUGAUGCUAGCCUUGUGCCUGAUGGGGAAACAAGUGCACAUUUGUUGUGCUCUGUCUGAGAUGGAGAAGUGUGCGCCUUGCUGGCGUACUUCAAUUGAUGCCUGCAAGCCCAGCCAGCGAGUGACCGAUAGUGGCCGGUUCUCCCUUCGUUACCCCCCUCCCCCCCCUUCUGCGGC